CCUACGGGAGGCAGCAGCAAGGAAUAUUGGUCAAUGGACGGAAGUCUGAACCAGCCAUGCCGCGUGAAGGAUGAAGGUCCUCUGGAUUGUAAACUUCUUUUAUGUGGGAAGAAACCACUCUUAUCUAAGGGUGUUGACGGUACCAUAGGAAUAAGCACCGGCUAACUCCGUGCCAGCAGCCGCGGUAAUACGGAGGGUGCAAGCGUUAUCCGGAUUCACUGGGUUUAAAGGGUGCGUAGGCGGAUUAGUAAGUCCGUGGUGAAAUCUCCAAGCUUAACUUGGAAACUGCCGUGGAUACUAUUAGUCUUGAAUGUUGUGGAGGUUAGCGGAAUAUGUCAUGUAGCGGUGAAAUGCAUAGAUAUGACAUAGAACACCAAUUGCGAAGGCAGCUGGCUACACAAAUAUUGACGCUGAUGCACGAAAGCGUGGGGAUCAAACAGGAUUAGAUACCCUGGUAGUCCACGCCCUAAACGAUGAUUACUCGACAUUUGCGAUAUACAGUAAGUGUCUGAGCGAAAGCAUUAAGUAAUCNACCUGGGAAGUACGACCNCAAGGUGGAAACUCAAAUGAAUUGACGG
RNAcentral lists this ribosomal RNA (578 nucleotides) under uncultured Sphingobacteriales bacterium. RNAcentral describes it as "bacterial SSU rRNA". It matches the Rfam family "Bacterial small subunit ribosomal RNA", at positions 338 to 916 of the family's 1533-position model. Lineage: Bacteria; Pseudomonadati; Bacteroidota; Sphingobacteriia; Sphingobacteriales. The record is from RNAcentral.